This 253-nucleotide ribosomal RNA is filed under the name uncultured bacterium. RNAcentral's name for it is "partial 16S ribosomal RNA". It matches the Rfam family "Bacterial small subunit ribosomal RNA", at positions 524 to 776 of the family's 1533-position model. The record is from RNAcentral.
UACGGAGGGUGCAAGCGUUAUCCGGAUUCACUGGGUUUAAAGGGUGCGUAGGCGGGCAGGUAAGUCCGUGAUGAAAUCUCUGAGCUUAACUCAGAAACUGCCAUGGAUACUAUUUGUCUUGAAUAUUGUGGAGGUAAGCGGAAUAUGUCAUGUAGCGGUGAAAUGCUUAGAUAUGACAUAGAACACCAAUUGCGAAGGCAGCUUACUACACAGUUAUUGACGCUGAGGCACGAAAGCGUGGGGAUCAAACAGG